Molecule: ribosomal RNA, 465 nt
Filed under: Vreelandella stevensii
Lineage: Bacteria; Pseudomonadati; Pseudomonadota; Gammaproteobacteria; Oceanospirillales; Halomonadaceae
Description: partial 16S ribosomal RNA
Rfam family: Bacterial small subunit ribosomal RNA
Source: RNAcentral
CCUACGGUGGGCUGCAGUGGGGAAUAUUGGACAAUGGGCGAAAGCCUGAUCCAGCCAUGCCGCGUGUGUGAAGAAGGCCUUCGGGUUGUAAAGCACUUUCAGUGGGGAAGAAAGCCUUGGGGCUAAUACCCUCGAGGAAGGACAUCACCCACAGAAGAAGCACCGGCUAACUCCGUGCCAGCAGCCGCGGUAAUACGGAGGGUGCGAGCGUUAAUCGGAAUUACUGGGCGUAAAGCGCGCGUAGGCGGUCUGAUAAGCCGGUUGUGAAAGCCCCGGGCUCAACCUGGGAACGGCAUCCGGAACUGUCAGGCUAGAGUGCAGGAGAGGAAGGUAGAAUUCCCGGUGUAGCGGUGAAAUGCGUAGAGAUCGGGAGGAAUACCAGUGGCGAAGGCGGCCUUCUGGACUGACACUGACGCAGAGGUGCGAAAGCGUGGGUAGCAAACAGGAUUAGAUACCCGAGUAGUC